RNAcentral lists this ribosomal RNA (446 nucleotides) under uncultured bacterium. Its description in RNAcentral is "partial 16S ribosomal RNA". It matches the Rfam family "Bacterial small subunit ribosomal RNA", at positions 338 to 795 of the family's 1533-position model. The record is from RNAcentral.
CCUACGGGGGGCAGCAGUCGAGAAUCAUUCACAAUGGGGGAAACCCUGAUGGUGCGACGCCGCGUGGGGGAAUGAAGGUCUUCGGAUUGUAAACCCCUGUCAUGUGGGAGCAAAUUAAAAAGAUCGUACCACAAGAGGAAGAGACGGCUAACUCUGUGCCAGCAGCCGCGGUAAUACAGAGGUCUCAAGCGCUGUUCGGAAUCACUGGGCGUAACGCGUGCGUAGGCUGUUUCGUAAGUCGUGUGUGAAAGGCGCGGGCUCAACCCGCGGACGGCACAUGAUACUGCGAGACUAGAUGAAUGGCGGGGGAACCGGAAUUCUCGGUGUAGCAGUGAAAUGCGUCGAUAUCGAGAGGAACACUCGUGGCGAAGGCGGGUUCCUGGACAUUACCUGACGCUGAGGCACGAAGGCCAGGGGAGCGAAAGGGAUUAGAUACCCUUGUAGUC